GGCUCUUUGUUUAGUCGGUUGUGGAAAUCGACACGGUACAAAAACACGGUAGCGUUAUGAAAAAUAACACAGGUUCAAAUCCUGGAAGAGCCUCCA
This 96-nucleotide transfer RNA is filed under the name Parahaemophilus parainfluenzae. RNAcentral's name for it is "Haemophilus parainfluenzae tRNA-Leu". The record is from RNAcentral. Lineage: Bacteria; Pseudomonadati; Pseudomonadota; Gammaproteobacteria; Pasteurellales; Pasteurellaceae.